Microbotryomycetes sp. JL221 is the source of this 85-nucleotide non-coding RNA. NCBI's taxonomy places the organism in Eukaryota, Fungi, Basidiomycota, Microbotryomycetes. The record is from the annotation of a GenBank genome assembly.
GGGGAUGUAGCUCAGGGGUAGAGCGCUUGCUUCGCAUGAUUCUUGUAUUUGCAUGAGGCCUUGGGUUCGAUUCCCAACUUCUCCA